UGGAAUAAAUCAGAUCAAUUGCACCCAAAAAGUUCAUACUCCCAAAUUAAACAUAUAACAUUCCCUAAUAUUGUCGUUUGUCACAAGACUGUGAUGACUCUUCUCCAAAUAAAAACAACUAGCAGAUCCUUCCUCAUUAGAAACACUUGCUCCUCCUCCUACAACUUUCAUCUGAAUUGAAUUGCUAAAGAAGGAAUCCAUCAAUUGAUUCCCUGGCGCUAGACACCACAUCAAACACAUGAAAUCACAUAAAUAAAUAUAGUCAUUCUUGGGAAAUGCUCAUUGGCAACCUCUAACAUGAUGAAUUUUAGCUUCUCUGCAGUAUUUUGGACAACCACAUCCAGGUAUUACUACAACAGCAAUGCCUAAAACAGCUUAAGAACUUGAAUGAUGACAUUAUUGCAAGAAAGUUGGGAAUUUAACUCUUAAAAGGCUUCAUGAAGCACUCUUCAUAAUCCUAUAUACGAAAUUAAAAGUUCAUGCAUAUUUCCUGGAGGACCUUGAAAACCUUUAAAAGUUAUUGAAAUGUUUAUUAUGGCAUAAGGUCAAGUCAUUCCAGAACCAGGUUUUCUUUGUUUUGUGUUUAGUCAGGAACACAUAUCAACUCUGGUUGCAGGUCCAAGGUCAGACUAGGUCAUUUCCCAAAAAUUUCAUGGAUUUUCCCAAUAAUUUUAAGUGUUAAAAGGUCAUACACCCAUAUCUGAAUAUUCCUUAUUUGUAAGGUAAAGUGAAGCAUUAAAGUAGCUACUGUUUUAUGCUCAUUAAAUCUUAACAUUAGGAAACCACUCACCCUCCACUUAAGAAUAAUCGACCAAUGGUGGCAAUGAGAAGCCAUGCACGGAGCCCAGGGUGUAUGAAGUAUACAACUUGAAGCCUGUCCUUGUAACCAGAAGGAAGUUCUUCAUAGAUCCACCUCAAGAUAGUUGCACCAGGGGAGUUGUCCUCCUUUUGCACAGUAGUAUGCAUGUAUACAAUGCAGAAUGGUCCUUCAGGCAACUCACUGCAUAUUUUGUGGAAAAUGUACUUCUUCAGUCUCUCCCCACUAACAACUUGAGCUGCAUACCAUAAGGGGCGAACUUUACAAUUACAAUUACAUUGAGGUCUGAACUUAAUAUGAAAUAAUGAAAAAUCAAUAAAGAAUGAAGAGAGAGAGAGAGAGAGA
This 1162-nucleotide unclassified non-coding RNA is filed under the name Hevea brasiliensis (rubber tree). The record is from RNAcentral. Lineage: Eukaryota; Viridiplantae; Streptophyta; Magnoliopsida; Malpighiales; Euphorbiaceae.